GGCAUGACUGUUAUUAAUUAAGAUUUGCUCUAAACCUGAACUUGUGGGGAGAGUACUUGAUCUAAAGUCUAAGUCGUUAACGGAUACGAUAUGGGAAGGUUGAGCUGCUGUUUAUCUGUUCCUAGAGAUGCUAAAAUUCUGGAGAAUUUUAUCUUUGAAAAUCUUUAAAAUGUUGCAUGAUGAGUUCCUGUAUGAUGAGAGUUUAAAUUCCUACCACAGCCAUAUAUACAUGCU
RNAcentral lists this long non-coding RNA (234 nucleotides) under Sorghum bicolor (sorghum). Its description in RNAcentral is "long non-coding RNA (SBIC_LNC012816)". Lineage: Eukaryota; Viridiplantae; Streptophyta; Magnoliopsida; Poales; Poaceae. The record is from RNAcentral.